Molecule: long non-coding RNA, 1503 nt
Organism: Passer montanus (Eurasian tree sparrow)
Lineage: Eukaryota; Metazoa; Chordata; Aves; Passeriformes; Passeridae
Exons: 3
Source: RefSeq, a predicted model, not a curated record
UUUCCAGGGUCAGGUUAGUGAGGCUGGAUGUUGCUUGUGGUGACGUGAAAGUGGUGUUGCUGCCAGCUGUAUCUUAAAUUGACUGUAUCUUAAAGGACUGGUUGAGAGGAACAGGGGCUAAACAGAAGAAACUCCUCAGGACUGAAGAGUUUCAGGGACAAGUGACUAUACAUGCAAAAUUUGACAAAGACAUUUACCUCCCAGUGGACGCUGAGUUUUACUUUGUUUAAGAUGGAUCCCUGAAGAGACGCACAAUGUUUGCUGAGCGAGUUAGUGGCAGCACUCUUCAGUCCAUAGCUCCAGGCCUUGGAUACCAAGAAGCAGUUUCUGUGUCUGUGUUGCUGUACACAGUGGGUUUCUCACCUGUGGUCCUUGGCAGCUGUCCCAUCACUUACAGAGAGAAUCUGUCAUGCAAGUUGUCUCGCAUUCUGGUUGAUCACACAGAAUGUGUCACUGCCAAUACUCACAAGAUGUUGCUGGAUGAAUUUGGGCUAAGGAUGAAAGAUCUGCAAUCACUGGAUAAUGACUUGAUGAUGGCCAUUGCUUAUGAAAAGUUGUCUUCAACCUGGAACAUCCUUGGAAGCUGCCCAGAAGGCUAUUUGAAGUUAGCUUAUUUGAAGUUGGAAAGCUUUUAACAGUGGUUUGGUGUACAGUUCAGAGCAGAAUAUCUCACUGGUCCAAUUUCUCUACUCAUGUGCUUUAUUUUGUUAAUAUAAAAAAUUGUUCAAGUGUGAGAGGGGUAAUCAGAGAUUUGGUUUGUGCCCAGAGAGGUAAAAAAGAUGGUCAUUGCAACUCUGUCUCCCUAGAAGGUUUGUCUGCCUUGACUCACGUGAAAUGCAAUUCUUUAUUUAUGAUUAGAGCUGUUUAAAAGAAGCAAGGACUGUAUCAUGAAGCUUUGCAGCCAUAAUUCUAACCAAGUGAGAUAUUUGAUCUUGGGAGAAAAAGAUGAUAUUCAGAGUAUGUUAUUGUAGGCAUUCCAAUGUGCAGAGUGAACAUAAUUUUUGCCAUUGUUCUGUCAGUGUUUAUCCUUCUUUUAUGACUAUGGUCAUUCUUUGGGGAAAAUAUCAUUAAACAAGUUUAUAAGUGUUUUUUGGUUUUUUUUUUAGUUGUAGAGGAAGUGGAAUGAAAAUACCUGUGAAACUUUAUAUCAGAGUAUUCUACUGAAAAACUUCAUAACAAAAUCAGGUGGGAUUUUCCUGGUUUCAAGUUUCAUUGCAAACAAAAAACUGCAGUUAGGUUUUGCUGAAGAGUAUAUUUUUCUUUUGCAGAGUCAGCUGAUUUAUAGCUGAGAGUGGAAACUGUGUUUUACUUGAUAGUUUCACAGGUUUUUCACUGAAAAUUUGGUAGUUUUGGCUGUUUUCCUUUUAGUACUUUAAAUUGCUGAAAAUUAGAAGACGAGCAGUUUCCAUGUCAGCCAAACUGAAAGAUAUGCUUGCAAGCUUUUGGGAAAUAAAAACACAUCAGUUAAGCUCAUUUCUUUGGGUAUCUGAGCUUUUUUCACAU